Long non-coding RNA from Symphalangus syndactylus (siamang), 1011 nucleotides. RefSeq lists it as uncharacterized. The record is from RefSeq and is a predicted model, not a curated record. Lineage: Eukaryota; Metazoa; Chordata; Mammalia; Primates; Hylobatidae.
UGCCUGUUAAGGAGCUGUAAUAGCCCCAUUCCUUCAGGCUCAUGUGGAUGAAGAGUCAUAUUGGAAGAGAUCUGUAACGGAUGUCACCACUUCAAAGAACUGUAAUCCUGUGUUUGAUACACUCCUCCUGCCCCCAGGACAGUAUCUGUGCGAGAGAAGGGAAGCCAGGGACCCAGAAAUGGUCUGCAGGGAGGUUUUUGCUACUUCAGGAAACCAUAGUUAUUGGCUGAUAGAAAAAUUACAGCAGAAUUACACAAUAAGAGCUAUUUCUGCCCUCUUGUCACUGAAGUAUGAACAAUUUUGUGUCCAGAAUUGGUGGGUUCUUAGUCUCACUGACUUCAAGAAUGAAGUCCCGGACCCUCGCGGUGAGUGUUACAGUUCUUAAAGGCGGCAUGUGCGGACUUUGUUCCUUCUGAUGUUCGGAUGUGUUCAGAGUUUCUUCCUUCUGGUGGGGUUCGUGGUCUCGUUGGGUCAGGAGUGAAGCUGCGGACCUUUACAGUGAGUGUUACAGCUGUUAAGGCAGCGCAUCUGGAGCUGUUCGUUCCUCCCGGUGGGUCCGUGGUCUUGCUGGCUUCAAGAGUGAAGCUGCAGACCUUCACGGUAAGUGUUACAGCUCAUAAAGGCAGUGUGGACCCAAAGAGUGAGCAACAGCAAGAUUUAUUGCAAAGAGCAAAAGUGUGGAAAGUGACCCGAGCGGGUUGCCACUGCUGGCUCCAGCAGCCUGCUUUUAUUCUCUUAUCUGGUCCCACCCACAUCCUGUUGAUUGGUCCAUUUUACAGAGAGCCAAGUGGUCUGUUUUGACAGGGUGCUGAUUGGUGCGUUUACAAUCCCUGAGCUAGACACAAAGGUUCUCCACGUCCCCACUAGAUUAGCUAGAUACAGAGUGUCGACUGGUGCAUUCACAAACCCUGAGCUAGACACAGGAUGCUGAUUGGUGUGUUUACAAACCUUGAGCUAGAUACAGAGUGCCGAUUGGUGUAUUUACAAUCCCUUAGCUAGACAUAAAGGUUC